This 686-nucleotide ribosomal RNA is filed under the name uncultured bacterium. Its description in RNAcentral is "bacterial SSU rRNA". It matches the Rfam family "Bacterial small subunit ribosomal RNA", at positions 117 to 819 of the family's 1533-position model. The record is from RNAcentral.
GUGAGGAACCUGCCUUGAAGAGGGGGACAACAGUUGGAAACGACUGCUAAUACCGCAUGAAGCAUAGGGGUCGCAUGAUCCUUAUGCCAAAGAUUUAUCGCUUCAAGAUGGCCUCGCGUCUGAUUAGCUGGUUGGCGGGGUAACGGCCCACCAAGGCGACGAUCAGUAGCCGGACUGAGAGGUUGAACGGCCACAUUGGGACUGAGAUACGGCCCAGACUCCUACGGGAGGCAGCAGUGGGGAAUAUUGGGCAAUGGGCGCAAGCCUGACCCAGCAACGCCGCGUGAAGGAAGAAGGCUUUCGGGUUGUAAACUUCUUUUAAGAGGGAAGAGCAGAAGACGGUACCUCUAGAAUAAGCCACGGCUAACUACGUGCCAGCAGCCGCGGUAAUACGUAGGUGGCAAGCGUUGUCCGGAUUUACUGGGUGUAAAGGGCGUGCAGCCGGGUCUGCAAGUCAGAUGUGAAAUCCAUGGGCUCAACCCAUGAACUGCAUUUGAAACUGUAGAUCUUGAGUGUCGGAGGGGCAAUCGGAAUUCCUAGUGUAGCGGUGAAAUGCGUAGAUAUUAGGAGGAACACCAGUGGCGAAGGCGGAUUGCUGGACGAUAACUGACGGUGAGGCGCGAAAGUGUGGGGAGCAAACAGGAUUAGAUACCCUGGUAGUCCACACUGUAAACGAUGAAUACUAG